This 468-nucleotide ribosomal RNA is filed under the name uncultured bacterium. RNAcentral's name for it is "partial 16S ribosomal RNA". It matches the Rfam family "Bacterial small subunit ribosomal RNA", at positions 28 to 507 of the family's 1533-position model. The record is from RNAcentral.
GACGAACGCUGGCGGCGUGCUUAACACAUGCAAGUCGAACGGAAAGGCCCUGCUUUUGUGGGGUGCUCGAGUGGCGAACGGGUGAGUAACACGUGAGUAACCUGCCCUUGACUUUGGGAUAACUUCAGGAAACUGGGGCUAAUACCGGAUAGGAGCUCCUGCUGCAUGGUGGGGGUUGGAAAGUUUCGGCGGUUGGGGAUGGACUCGCGGCUUAUCAGCUUGUUGGUGGGGUAGUGGCUUACCAAGGCUUUGACGGGUAGCCGGCCUGAGAGGGUGACCGGCCACAUUGGGACUGAGAUACGGCCCAGACUCCUACGGGAGGCAGCAGUGGGGAAUAUUGCACAAUGGGCGGGAGCCUGAUGCAGCAACGCCGCGUGCGGGAUGACGGCCUUCGGGUUGUAAACCGCUUUCGCCUGUGACGAAGCGUGAGUGACGGUAAUGGGUAAAGAAGCACCGGCUAACCACGUG